Molecule: ribosomal RNA, 253 nt
Filed under: uncultured bacterium
Lineage: Bacteria
Description: partial 16S ribosomal RNA
Rfam family: Bacterial small subunit ribosomal RNA
Source: RNAcentral
UACAGAGGUCUCAAGCGUUGUUCGGAUUCAUUGGGCGUAAAGGGUGCGUAGGUGGCGCUGUAAGUCGGGUGUGAAAUUUCGAGGCUUAACCUCGAAACUGCAUUCGAUACUGCCGUGCUUGAGGACUGGAGAGGAGACUGGAAUUUACGGUGUAGCGGUGAAAUGCGUAGAUAUCGUAAGGAAGACCAGUGGCGAAGGCGGGUCUCUGGACAGUUCCUGACGCUGAGGCACGAAGGCCAGGGGAGCAAACGGG